This 791-nucleotide ribosomal RNA is filed under the name uncultured bacterium. Its description in RNAcentral is "bacterial SSU rRNA". It matches the Rfam family "Bacterial small subunit ribosomal RNA", at positions 48 to 884 of the family's 1533-position model. The record is from RNAcentral.
CUUAUACAUGCAAGUCGAGCGCCUGUAGCAAUACAGGAGCGGCAGACGGGAGAGUAACACGUGGGAACGUGCCCUUUGGUUCGGAACAACACAGGGAAACUUGUGCUAAUACCGGAUAAGCCCUUACGGGGAAAGAUUUAUUGCCAAAGGAUCGGCCCGCGUCUGAUUAGCUAGUUGGUGAGGUAAUGGCUCACCAAGGCGACGAUCAGUAGCUGGUCUGAGAGGAUGAUCAGCCUCAUUGGGACUGAGACACGGCCCAAACUCCUACGGGAGGCAGCAGUAGGGAAUAUUGGACAAUGGGCGCAAGCCUGAUCCAGCCAUGCCGCGUGAGUGAUGAAGGCCUUAGGGUUGUAAAGCUCUUUCGGCGGGGAAGAUAAUGACGGUACCCGCAUAAGAAGCCCCGGCUAACUUCGUGCCAGCAGCCGCGGUAAUACGAAGGGGGCUAGCGUUGCUCGGAAUCACUGGGCGUAAAGCGCACGUAGGCGGACUCUUAAGUCAGGGGUGAAAUCCUGGAGCUCAACUCCAGAACUGCCCUUGAUACUGGGAGCCUUGAGUUCGGGAGAGGUGAGUGGAACUGCGAGUGUAGAGGUGAAAUUCGUAGAUAUUCGCAAGAACACCAGUGGCGAAGGCGGCUCACUGGCCCGAUACUGACGCUGAGGUGCGAAAGCGUGGGGAGCAAACAGGAUUAGAUACCCUGGUAGUCCACGCUGUAAACGAUGGAUGCUAGCCGUUGGCGGGUUUACUCGUCAGUGGCGCAGCUAACGCAUUAAGCAUCCCGCCUGGGGAGUACG